Molecule: long non-coding RNA, 1227 nt
Filed under: Homo sapiens (human)
Lineage: Eukaryota; Metazoa; Chordata; Mammalia; Primates; Hominidae
Description: KAZN antisense RNA 1
Source: RNAcentral
CCCUAAUGUUCCCUUCCACCUUGUGGAAGUUUUGUUCUUUCGCUCUUUGCAAUAAAUCCCAUUGUUGCUCGCUCUUUGGGGUCUCACUGUCUGUGCGAGCUGUAAUACUCGCCGCAAAGGUGUCUGGCUUCACUUCCGAGACCAGCGAGACCCCGAACCCACCGGGAGGAAUGAACAACUCCGGAUGGGAGGGACAAACAACACCAGACGCACCGCCUUAAGAGUCCUAACGCUCACCGCGGAGGUCUGCGGCUUCACUCUUGAAUGAAGCCAGCGAGAUCACAAACCCACCAGAAGGAAGGAACUCUGAACACAUCCGAAAAUCAGAAGGAACAAACUCCGGACACACUACCUUUAAGAACUGUAACACUCAAAUCGCGAGGGUCCACGGCUUCGUUCUUGAAGUCAGUGAGACCAAGAACCCACAAAUUCCGGACACUUCCCCACACAGAGGGAACUGGCCUAACACUCUGAAUCUACAUCAAGGAACUCAAGCGCUCUUGUUGUCUUCCUGGGCAGGUGGUGCCAAUAGGAUGUACUGACAGAUCAGAAGUGGUCGUGAGAGAAGGAGCAAGUAGCCAGAAGAGUGAAGUGUGCACUGGCUGAGAUGUGGGAGCAGGUGUUGUUGGUUUCCCCGGAGUCUUAUGUAUCAACAAAAUCACACCAGACCACCCAAAGCUGGCCCUGCCAACUGACCACACACACCCCUGCCUGAAAGGCAUGUUUCAAUGUGCAACAGACGCCUGCCACUCAGGGGACAUCAAAUGUUCAUGAGAACUCGCUAACCUCGAAACAGGUUCUACAAAUUCAAAAAAACCACCCGUGGCCUGGCUCUGGGCUGAAGCUGAGUCCUGGCUUGAAAUCCCCUGCCUUAAUCUCUCUUCGAAGACUUUUCUGCAUUCAUCUGAGUCCUCAUCCUCCAAGGCAGGGCUCAGGCUUGGGCUCAGGCUCCCAGCCAUGUAUCCCUCCUGGACCAUUCCUGACUCCUUUCCAGUAUCCUUAUCACUUGUACCACAUACGUUGGCCUUUGAUCCUGUGUACUGUUGGAUUUGUCUUUACUUCACAGGUUCAUCUUGUCUCCCCAAGAACAAUGAGAGUUGCCUCAAGGGGUAGAACCAUGCUUUUUGUUUUCUUUUGAAUUCAUUACAGCACAGCCAAAAGCUCAACACACAAAACACACUCAGUAAAUAUCUGUUGAACAGAAUAAAAGCCAUUCCGCAUAACCAA